RNAcentral lists this ribosomal RNA (474 nucleotides) under uncultured bacterium. RNAcentral's name for it is "bacterial SSU rRNA". It matches the Rfam family "Bacterial small subunit ribosomal RNA", at positions 28 to 517 of the family's 1533-position model. The record is from RNAcentral.
GAUGAACGCUAGCGGCAGGCCUAACACAUGCAAGUCGAACGGUAACAUGAGUAGCAAUACUUGAUGACGAGUGGCGCACGGGUGCGUAACGCGUAUGCAACUUACCUCUAACUGGAGAAUAGCCUUCCGAAAGGAAGAAUAAUACUCCAUAAUAUUACGAUGUGGCAUCACAUUGUUCUUAAAGCUUCGGCGGUUAGAGAUGGGCAUGCGUCUGAUUAGCUUGUUGGUGAGGUAACGGCUCACCAAGGCAACGAUCAGUAGGGGGCCUGAGAGGGUUAUCCCCACACUGGUACUGAGACACGGACCAGACUCCUACGGGAGGCAGCAGUGAGGAAUAUUGGUCAAUGGACGAAAGUCUGAACCAGCCAUGCCGCGUGCAGGAUGAAUGCCCUAUGGGUUGUAAAGCUCUUUUACCAGGGAUGAUAAUGACAGUACCUGGAGAAUAAGCUCCGGCUAACUCCGUGCCAGCAGCCG